This 481-nucleotide ribosomal RNA is filed under the name uncultured bacterium. RNAcentral describes it as "partial 16S ribosomal RNA". It matches the Rfam family "Bacterial small subunit ribosomal RNA", at positions 28 to 507 of the family's 1533-position model. The record is from RNAcentral.
GAUGAACGCUGGCGGCGUGCUUAACACAUGCAAGUCGAACGAAGCACUUUAUUUUAUUUCCUUCGGGACUGAUUAUUUUUUGUCUGAGUGGCGGACGGGUGAGUAACGCGUGGGUAACCUGCCUUUUACAGGGGGAUAACAGUUGGAAACGGAUGCUAAUACCGCAUAAGCGCACGGCAUCGCAUGAUGCAGUGUGAAAAACUCCGGUGGUAUAAGAUGGACCCGCGUUGGUUUAGCUUGUUGGUGAGGUAACGGCCCACCAAGGCGACGAUCCAUAGCCGAGAAGAGAGGGAGACCGGACACAUUGGGAGUGAGACACGGAACAAAAUCCGACGGGAGGAAGCAGAGGGGAAUAGUGAAAAAUGGGCGAAAGCAUGAUGAAGCGACGCCGCGUGAGCGAAGAAGUAUUUCGGUAAGUAAAGCUAUAUCAGCAGGGAAGAUAAUGACGGUAACUGACUAAGAAGCACCGGCUAAAUACGUG